Molecule: long non-coding RNA, 156 nt
Organism: Trematomus bernacchii (emerald rockcod)
Lineage: Eukaryota; Metazoa; Chordata; Actinopteri; Perciformes; Nototheniidae
Exons: 2
Source: RefSeq, a predicted model, not a curated record
UUUAGAAACUACUAAAGCAGCUCCAUCCAGCUGAGGAUUCAAUCGUCCAGCUGACUGAUCGAAGUGGGACAGAUCGCUGCUCGCUCGCCUACAAACACAAAAGAUGAACAUCGCUGUCUUUAUCAUCUUCAUGGCCACUCUUGCCCUUGUUGAUGG